This 1053-nucleotide long non-coding RNA is filed under the name Homo sapiens (human). RNAcentral describes it as "long intergenic non-protein coding RNA 3076". Lineage: Eukaryota; Metazoa; Chordata; Mammalia; Primates; Hominidae. The record is from RNAcentral.
CCCAAGGUAGGCAGCUUCCCGCUCCUCGUCUUGGGACCUAAACCCAGGAAGUCAAAUGUCCUUUUCUAGCAGGUCGCCUGGUUAGAGGCCGUGGACGAAGCGGUCCAGGCACAGCCAGCUGCAGGGCGCGGCCUCGGCGGCGCUGCUCGUGGCCCUGGUCAGUGAGCGCACUCACUCCUGGACUAAGCUCUAUGCAACUCAUUUUCAUCUAGCAUUACCUCUCCAAAACCUGAAUCUCCACAAGAAAGCCACACAGCAAUUAACCAGUGUUGCAAGAACUGCUUCUGUAAUAAAGGUGGGAAGACAAAUUGAUGCAACCCUCUUGAAAAGCAAUCUGGCAAUAUGAACCAAGAGCCAUGAAAAGGCUUAUGCUAUUAUAAUUAAAUGGCUGUAAUGUUGGCUGUAAAUAUGAAAUUUUCUUUCACACACCAAUGUUUUCAAGAAUGGCAUAUUCACAUGCAGUAUGUGAUGAAAGAAGCAGUAAAGGAUGCUAACAAAGCUAUUUCUUUGGACAAUCUGAACCUGACGGAGUCUUACUCUGUCGCCCAGGCAGGAGUGCAAUGGCACAAUCUUGGCUCACCACAACCUCCGCCUCCUGGGUUCAAGUGACUCUCCUGCCUGGCCAUAGAAGCAAACACAAACAUAGAGGAAUUGGCUUUGGGCAGAUGGAAGGACCUCAGAGAAAAGAAACAAAGGAAAGAAAACUGGAUGGAUAAAGUAAAGAUCUUGCCAGCUGGUGCCUGGGUGCAUAGACUGCCUAUGGCUCUUGAAUUGCAUGCUGAAAACUUCAUAAUGAAACCAGAAAAUCACAGAAGCAUAAACACAGCUGCUUAUGCCUAUAAAUUAUUGCUGGUGAAAAGGAUGUUUAAGCAGAGUGAGAGACUCUCAGCAAAAAAAGGUAACUGAAAGAGUGGUAAGUCAGACAAAGAAGAAAAAUGCCAAAGAAGAGGGUCAAGAACAACUCAUAUGACUCCGAAAUCCCUUACCCACAUUGGAGUUAUAAAAAGUUCAGGAGCUGGAGACAAAAGGCAGGUUCAUAAAGAGGAUUCCUUG